Molecule: ribosomal RNA, 483 nt
Filed under: uncultured bacterium
Lineage: Bacteria
Description: partial 16S ribosomal RNA
Rfam family: Bacterial small subunit ribosomal RNA
Source: RNAcentral
AGUGAACGCUGGGGGCGUGCAUAACACAUGCAAGUCGAACGUGAACGGGCUAUAGCUUGCUAUAGUUGUCUGCUAAGUGGCGCCCGGGUGAGUAAUAUAUAGGUAAUAUGCCUCUUACUAAGGGAUAACAAAUGGAAACGUUUGCUAAUACCUUAUACUCCUUAUUAACAGAAGUUAAUAAGGGAAAGAUUUAUUGGUAAGAGAUUAGCCUGUAUUGUAUCAGUUAGUUGGUGGGGUAAUGGCCUACCAAGACUAUGACACAUAACUGGUUUGAGAGGAUGAUCAGUCACACUGGAACUGAGACACGGACUACAGUCGCAGGUGAAGCAGAAGUGGUUAACAUUGGACAAAGGACUAAAGAGUGAUGGAGAAGAUCGGCAAGGCGAAUGAGCAAUUUCGGGGCGUCAGCUCGGUUUAUAGGCGAAAAUGAUCACGGUAUAAUAUGAAUAAGCACCGGCUAACACCGUGGGAGCCUCCGCGUAA